ACAGUACAAACUGAGCAGGCGAUUCCCAUCAGCCGGAUGGGAAUGGGGCCGGGCCGCCCAAAGAGCGGCAGUGGAUGAGCUUUUGCACAUCUGCGGGACAGU
RNAcentral lists this non-coding RNA (102 nucleotides) under human gut metagenome. Its description in RNAcentral is "NiCo riboswitch". It matches the Rfam family "NiCo (Nickel/Cobalt) riboswitch aptamer". The record is from RNAcentral.